GAUGAACGCUGGCGGCGUGCCUAAUACAUGCAAGUCGAGCGAACAGACGAGGACCUUGCUCCUCUGACGUUAGCGGCGGACGGGUGAUUAACACGUGGAUAACCUACCUUUAAGACUGGGAUAACUUCGGGAAACCGGAGCUAUUACCGGAUAAUAUAUUGAACCGCAUGGUUCAUUAGUGAAAGACGGUUUUGCUGUCCCUUUUAGAUGGUUCCGCGCCGCAUUAGCUAGUUGGUAAGGUAACGGCUUACCAAGGCAACGAUGCGUAGCCGACCUGAGAGGGUGAUCGGCCACACUGGAACUGAGACACGGUCCAGACUCCUACGGGAGGCAGCAGUAGGGAAUCUUCCGCAAUGGGCGAAAGCCUGACGGAGCAACGCCGCGUGAGUGAUGAAGGUCUUCGGAUCGUAAAACUCUGUUAUUAGGGAAGAACAAAUGUGUAAGUAACUAUGCACGUCUUGACGGUACCUAAUCAGAAAGCCACGGCUAACUACGUG
RNAcentral lists this ribosomal RNA (497 nucleotides) under uncultured bacterium. RNAcentral describes it as "partial 16S ribosomal RNA". It matches the Rfam family "Bacterial small subunit ribosomal RNA", at positions 28 to 507 of the family's 1533-position model. The record is from RNAcentral.